GAUGAACGCUGGCGGCGUGCCUAAUACAUGCAAGUCGAGCGAACAGACGAGGAGCUUGCUCCUCUGACGUUAGCGGCGGACGGGUGAGUAACACGUGGAUAACCUACCUAUAAGACUGGGAUAACUUCGGGAAACCGGAGCUAAUACCGGAUAAUAUAUUGAACCGCAUGGUUCAAUAGUGAAAGACGGUUUUGCUGUCACUUAUAGAUGGAUCCACGCCGCAUUAGCUAGUUGGUAAGGUAAAGGCUUACCAAGGCAACGAUGCGUAGCCGACCUGAGAGAGUGAUCGGCCACACUGGAACUGAGACACGGUCCAGCCUCCUACGGGAGGCAGCAGUAGGGAACCUUCCGCAAUGGGCGAAAGCCUGACGGAGCAACGCCGCGUGAGUGAUGAAAGUCUUCGGAUCGUAAAACUCUGUUAUUAGGGAAGAACAAAUGUGUAAGUAACUAUGCACGUCUUGACGGUACCUAAUCAGAAAGCCACGGCUAACUACGUG
This 497-nucleotide ribosomal RNA is filed under the name uncultured bacterium. RNAcentral's name for it is "partial 16S ribosomal RNA". It matches the Rfam family "Bacterial small subunit ribosomal RNA", at positions 28 to 507 of the family's 1533-position model. The record is from RNAcentral.